Molecule: ribosomal RNA, 248 nt
Filed under: uncultured bacterium
Lineage: Bacteria
Description: partial 16S ribosomal RNA
Rfam family: Bacterial small subunit ribosomal RNA
Source: RNAcentral
AGUAACACGUGGGUAACCUGCCUUAUAGUGGGGGAGUAGCCUUUCGAAAGGAAGAUAAUACCGCAUAAGAUUGUAGUAUCGCAUGAUAUAGCAAUUAAAGGAGCAAUUCGCUAUAAGAUGGACCCGCGUCGCAUUAGCUAGUUGGUGAGGUAAUGGCUCACCAAGGCGACGAUGCGUAGCCGACCUGAGAGGGUGAACGGCCACAUUGGGACUGAGACACGGCCCAGACUCCUACGGGAGGCAGCAUG